UCGAUAGCACACUGUUCUCUUGAUUAGCAACUGACGCCGGUUUGGUAGUAAAAUGCCACAUUGUGCUACUUUCGGAUGUAAUUUCCAAUCGAAAGGCAAUAAGGGGAGUGGUGUCACUAUAUUUAUAUUUCCAAAGGACAAGAAGGGGAGAAAAGGUGGGAGGAUGCCAUGGACGGAGUACAGCUAGCUAGCUAUAUAGCUUCCUAAAAGUGGCGCUGAGCCCAGCAUUUUCUCCUCAAUGGAUUUAGUCGACUUCCACUGAUGGAAGACCUCACCGGGAGCGAUUGGCUAUAAGCCUAAGCUAAAACCAGAGGCUUGCCCGACGAUCACCCCCCAUACGGAGUCUAAAAAGUCCAGGGAAGCGAGUGAAAUGUGCGUUAAAAACGUGACAGAUAAGAUGCUGUGUGCUCUCCUGAGAAGACAACUAUGCUACGGUAACAUCAGGCAAAUCAGACUCGUCGCCACUCAUCACAGAGGAAGACCACCUUACUCCACACCACAGUAAGUGUUGUUAACACUACUUCUAUGUGUUGUCAAUCCAAAAAAUGUAUUUGCGGCUACUUGGACGGUUUUACUUAGUUCAAAUGCCGCGGUGCAGUGGCCAGCUGAUGUGAGAAAAAAUGUAACCUAUCUCGAAAUAUCACUAGCAUAUGUGGCAACGUGCACCGAGUUGGCUACUGAGACUAAUGUAGUGGUACGACAUGGUUUGAGUCUGAGAUCUGUUGUCUAUUCACAGUCAGUGUCUACUUUUGGUAUUGACUAGUGAUACAAAAAAUAGUUUUAGAGAUGUAUUUAGCUACUGGAAAUCUUGGUUUUAUAUCUGAAUCUAACACAGUACAUCCAUUUGUGCAGGUAUGAAGGAGGGCGCUUGCACCAACUUCCAAAAACCCAAAUGGAUGCCUGUCCCGUUAUUGUCGGCCAUUUCAGUGAUGAUGAAUCUGAACGUCAGUCUUGAACAGAAACUAGAGCUCUGAUGGAUCGGGGUUCCAAGCAGCUGCUGAUAGACCAUGAUGGCUGCACCUCAUGACCACCUACAUCCUGAAGACAAUAAAUAUGCUUAUUGGGCUGUAGUGACAAACAUGUACAUUUAUUUAGAGGGACACUGUGUGAGAUUUUUAGUUGUUUAUUUCCAGAAUUCAUGCUGCCCAUUCACUAAUGUUACCUUUUUCAUGAAUACUUACCACCAGCAUCAAAUUAAGUAUUCAUUAUGACUGGAAAAAUUGCACUUUUCAAACAUGAA
Molecule: long non-coding RNA, 1240 nt
Organism: Engraulis encrasicolus (European anchovy)
Lineage: Eukaryota; Metazoa; Chordata; Actinopteri; Clupeiformes; Engraulidae
Exons: 3
Source: RefSeq, a predicted model, not a curated record